Molecule: transfer RNA, 92 nt
Organism: Yarrowia lipolytica CLIB122
Lineage: Eukaryota; Fungi; Ascomycota; Dipodascomycetes; Dipodascales
Rfam family: tRNA
About the family: Transfer RNA (tRNA) molecules are approximately 80 nucleotides in length. Their secondary structure includes four short double-helical elements and three loops (D, anti-codon, and T loops). Further hydrogen bonds mediate the characteristic L-shaped molecular structure. tRNAs have two regions of fundamental functional importance: the anti-codon, which is responsible for specific mRNA codon recognition, and the 3' end, to which the tRNAs corresponding amino acid is attached (by aminoacyl-tRNA synthetases). tRNAs cope with the degeneracy of the genetic code in two manners: having more than one tRNA (with a specific anti-codon) for a particular amino acid; and 'wobble' base-pairing, i.e. permitting non-standard base-pairing at the 3rd anti-codon position.
Source: Rfam
GCGGAUUUAGCUCAGUUGGGAGAGCGCCAGACUGAAGUCAUUCUUCAGUCAGAGUAAUCUGGAGGUCCUGUGUUCGAUCCACAGAAUUCGCA